ACUUAAAAUUUAAAAGACUUGACGGUACCUCACAACAGCCUAGAGGAGCCUGUCCAAUAACCGAUACUCCACGAUCAACCCAACCCCCCCUAGCCCAACAGUCUAUAUACCGCCGUCGCCAGCCUACCUCAUGAGAGAAACAAAGUAAGCCAAACAGUCAUACGCUAGCACGACAGGUCGAGGUGUAACUAAUGGGGAGGAUUAAGAUGGGCUACAUUUUCUAAUCAGAAUAUACGAAUAAACUAUGAAACAAGAAACUGAAGGCGGAUUUAGCAGUAUAUUAAGAACAAAAUACAUAAUAGAAACCAACGCAAUGAGGUGCGUACACACC
Molecule: ribosomal RNA, 331 nt
Filed under: Chironius foveatus
Lineage: Eukaryota; Metazoa; Chordata; Lepidosauria; Squamata; Colubridae
Description: partial small subunit ribosomal RNA
Source: RNAcentral